GCCCGAGUCCUCAAGGAUACUAGUCAGGUUCAUUAUUGCAGAGCCACAAUGGGAACUCCUGUGCAACCAUUUUUGUCAAAGAAGGUUAUAAAAGCAUUUUGCUUUUUCAUCCUUCGCUCGCCCCUUUCAAAAACAGUCUUAUUAUUCUCUAAUUGCAUUCUCAGGACUGGCCCUGGAGCCAAACUCCUAGUUCUACCCUUCACUAGAAAUAUGACCUUAAACUGUUUAAUUUCUCACUUCGGAUGCCUCAUCUGUAAACUGGAGGUGAUAAUAAUCUCUACCUCAUAAGAUUAUAGAAUGGAUUAUUGAGAACAAGGGGCGUAAAGCACCUGAUGCUCGAAAGAACUCAAUAGAUGGUCGUUAUUAUUAACACAAUGCUCAGCACCUAAGAGCUAAAUAAAUGCUAGUUAUCAUGGCUCAGAAGUGAGGUGAUGGCUUAGGGGAGAGGCCCUCCUAAAAUGAUAUUUUUAGAAGGAGGACAAGAAAGGAAAUUAGUGGACAUGCCCCUAUGCCAGGCACUUUUCAUACAUCAUGUAAUUUCAUCCUCACCCAUUGUUGUAAGUCAGAUAUUAUCAUUCCAGAGCAGGACGAGGGUGAGGGGAGGGAGGUACCUAGAGGCCAAAAUUAAGGAGGGAGGCACUCCCUCUCAGGGUUGUGCUGAGGGAAAUGAGGCUCUAACAGGGUAGCUUGGUAACAGAGAGGUGAGCAGCAGAGAUGGGAUUUCCCCUCUGGUCUGCCAGCUGAAGCUGUGGUGUCGACCUGACAUGGACCAACCAUGGGGCUUCCUUGCUAUGGGUUUUCACCCCUUGACCCCAUCUGAUGGUACAGAUCUCUGAGAAACUGCCCAGCUUGUUCUGGAAGGUGCCCAGCUGUGAUUGCCCCCCCAUGACUCAAGUCCCUAGCAACCUAAAAUGUUCUAACUUUCCUUUCACUGGAGGGCCCUGCUGACAUAGCUGCACUUUCAGCUUCUUGAGAGUAUCAUAGCAAUGGCCUCUUAAGAUUUUCUCAGUGAGCCCAGAUUCUAACAACUUCUAAUAACUUAAUAAGAAAGGCUUCUUAAGGCAAAACUGGGAAUUUCUGAUCUCUUCGUGAAAAGCUAAGCUUUUUGACCUCCCAUGGCAGAGGAUGCUUCUGGAGGCCACUCCUAUCACUAGGACGAGUCCUUCAGGCCUGCACUUGGGAUUGUUUUCCAACAUCUUUACUUCAAGGUAAAAUAGCUCUGGGGGUAAAAAAAAGCUGCCUUACCAUUUAGUGUUGCCUGUUCCUGAAGAUGGAAAGAUUUACCCAGUGAACAGAGAGCUGAAGCCACACUUGACUUUGGGGAGCUUUCUCUGCGACUCCCUGAGGCGUUUGUGUGAAUGACCAACAUAAGGGCAGGCAAAACCUUUGAAGGAACAAUGAAAGUCUGUUUGGAUAAGCUUCCCUGGAGUCUGAGGGUAGACUCUACAAAGGUGCCCCUCCCUCCACUCCACCUCAAGAGAGGAGGCUGAGCAGAGAAAUGAGUUAUUGGGAAGGAUUGUCCAAAUAAAAAGAUGACCUUUGUUUUGUUUUCAAGGUUUAGCGAUUUCUCUAGGAACAUGCUAUGGUCUGGCUUGUGUCCCCCAAAAUUCCUAAAGUGAAGCUCUAACCCCUAAUGUGACUCUAUUUGGAGAUGGAACCCAUUAGGAGGUAAUUAAGGUUCACCAAGGUCAUAAGGUGGGGCCCUGAUACCAUAGGAUUGGUUCUUACAAGAGACAUCUGAGGUCCACCAUGUGAUCUAGACAAGAAGAGGGUCUCACCUGAAUCCGGCAUUGCUGGCACUGUGAUCUCAGACUUCCAACCUCCAAAACUGUGAGUAAAUAUAAUUUCUAUUGUUUAAGCCAUGCAGCCUACAGUAUUUUGUUAUUGAAACCAGAGGUGACUAAUACAAAACACUUGGUAAUACACCCACAAUUUAUCCAGUUGGCUCCCAGAUUUGCAUCUGUAUCUCUUUAAUCCUCACCAUCCAAGUAAGUAGGUAAUAAUUUUUGCUGGUUAAUGGCUGAAAUUAGAAUAAUAGACUCUUUGGAUUAUAGUCAAGUCCAGAGCUGGGUAGUCUUAUAUGGCACACUUAACCUUUUUGGGCAUCAAUUUCUUCAAGUGCAAAAUGUGGAACGUAUUAGUUCCUGCUUCACAGAUUGCUUACGAGGAUCUAUUUCUGUGUCCACAACCCCCAGUGGGUGGUGUAGGCACUGACCAAGCGGGCCAGAGCCAAAUCAUAUUCCUGGAAGUCAGAAUUAGGGAGGCCAGAAAAGAGAGCACCAGAGGGGUAAGUAUCUAUGUUCUUAAACUGCAUGAGGUUUCAGUGCUAAGACUGGGCAUAGGGACUGGGCUCAAACAGGAAACACAGGUGAGCGCCUUACUGGGGAGAAGCAUGUGCUGGACAAGUAGAACAGAACAAUACUGAAGAUUGCCACAGAUUGCCUUAUAGGAUCAGAUAAGAUACGAAUGGAGUGAGUUAGGUGACGCACCUAGCACGUGGUAAUGAUUGAAAUCAGUACCAAAGGCAUUAGUUUUUGUGUUAAAAACCCUUCUCCCACACCCAUGAUUCAAAGGGCAGGUUAAUGAUGAAGAUGUUGAUGAAGCAGGGGGUUUGAUGAGGGUCGGGGUUCAGGUGUGCACUGGAUGCAGUAGUUAUUAAGCAUCAAUUUGCUUUCCUUCCUCCUUUCCCUUUCAUGACGUAAUUGAAUAUAAUGGCCCUGUUGGUAGCUCACUGACCAUGCUUCCCACGUGGGAGUCUUCAGCGUUCAUCCCAGGAUGUGCACCCCUCUCCCCACUGCCCUUCGGCUGAGCUGGGAGGCCAGGUCUCUGGGCCUUGGGUAGCAGGAUGUUCCAGAAGGGCCCACAUAGUUUAACAGAGGACUUUAAUUAGGAACAUUGAAGUGGUGCCACCAGGACCCUUAGGACUCUGGUUUGAAAUCUUAGAAACUCUCUCCCAGUGAAGCAACCAAAUGCCUUGUUACAGAAAAGCAUUUUGAGAAAAAUAUAUUCAGGCACAUUAUCAUUAGACCAGAGAAUCUGUUGUAUCUGAAAAGGAAUAAGGGCGAGGAUUCAGACACCUGCCCAACAAAGACAUCUUAUCUGAAACAAUAAGGCAGAGAUUGUUCUGGACUCCCUUGCUUUUGCGCCCCAGGGUUGUUUGGCUUGAAUGACUGCCAAAGCCUAAAGUUCAAAAGAGAGUCACCAGUGGGAAAGAGGCCAGCCUUCUUGGAGUUGGGUUCCCAGAAUUCUCCCAUUUAUUGUCAAGCCUCUCACUCCAAGGUCAACCUGCUCUGGUUGGUGGUUCGGUUUUAGAUACAGCCCCUCCCUGUACCAUAUAAAGACUGCGAGAGGGAUUCUGACAGUAAAAUCAUCAACUAUGUUGUCCAUUCAAGGACCUAAACUUGGAUAUGUCAACUUCUUCCAGAAGCCACCACCAACGUCCUGUCUGAGGUUCAUGAGGAUGGGCAGCCCCUCGCACACUGAACACAGCUAUUCUCAUUAGGCUGUCAUAACAGGAGCAAGCAUUUCAUCCUUUUAAAAGUGUUUUGUUGUAGUUGAAUGCAAAUAUGAAUUCAGUUGAUAGGAGUUUAGGUAAGCCAUUAUGCUAAGCUUGGUUUCAUCUUUGAGAUCUUCCACUCUUUUGCUUAACACCCCCUGCCCGUGAAACAUUCACCAUGUCCUGCUGGGUUCUACCUCCGAGUUACCACAGGAACCAACCACUUCUCCAUUGCCACCACACUGGCCAAGUCACCCUCAUGUUUCACCUCUGUUACUGUGACAGCCUCCUAACUGUCCUCUCUGCCCCAAGUCUGCCCUCCCCUCCCCCACAAAAUCUAUUCUCUGUGCUCUCACCAGAACAGUGGUUUCAGCACCCAAGCCUCCCCUUGCUCAAAACCUUGUUGCUCCUAGGCUAAAACUCAGAACUUUUCCCCUGGCCCCUGCCUGCCUCUGCCUCCUCAUCUUGACCCUUGUUCCCUGUCCAUCCCUCUCUGCCUGCAGCCAUAUUAACCUCCCAGCUUCUUCCACCCUUCCCUCCACCACCCAUCGAUCACAGUUCAAAUGGCACUUCCUAGGAAAGUUUCCCACGAGACCCCCUAUCUAGGGCAGGUCUCUCUUUCAGUUUUCAUUAACUGUGUUUUCUUUUCUUGAGAGUAAUUACCUCCAUUGUUACUUCCACAUUCAUGAGUGUGAUUACAUAAUAAAGAUCCAUCUUCCCUUCUGGUCUCUAAGCUCCAUGAGAGCAGAAGCAUAUCUGCUCACCAUCAUACCCGCAGACCUUUAACCCAGUCAGUGCCUGGCACAGAAACAGGUUCUCAUGGAACAUUAUUUGGAUGAAUUUCUGAGAGGGAGACACCGAGUGAAAAACACAGACAGCUAUGAAUCAGAGCUGCUGUUGUUUUUCGAAAAGGUCAGUACAUUUGAAGGGAAGGUAAAUUAUUUUCAAAACUUGGAGACAAGGUCACUCACAAAAAUCAGCAUGUAACAGAUGAGAUUAUGUGUGCACAGAAUCCAGAGUAAAAAGACCUAACAGCCUGUCAAAACCACACAGGCAAAAAAUAAAAACAAAACAAAACAAAACAAAACAAAACCCACACAGGAAGGGCAGAGAGGAUUUUGGACCCAAGAGUGUAUGGUCAAAAGUCAGAGAGAGAGGGAGACGGCAGGAAGCAGUGAGGUCCUGGCAUACCUGGGGUAAAAGCUGUCUCCUGACACUGGUUUGUAACACAGCCUGUGAGACCAUGUUAAUGAACAAAAUUAAUGGGGACCCAGGAUGAGACAGAUCCCUUCAGCAACCAUAAAACAUGAUCUAUAAAUGUACCAGGAUUGGAGAGUUGGGAGCCAGCCAUAUCUGUAAGUACAGAGCAAUAACUGACUGUUGUGUGGUCUGCCUGAUGGAAGUGCAUGGCCUCUACAAGAAGGGAGGCUCAUGUGUCAGAAGCUCCUGCUCCCUGCUUGUUGGAUGGAGGACUGGUGCCCAGCUGGCUCAUGGUUGGCGGAUGACCCUGACCAUGGAGAUCAUCCACACCACGGUCCUCUGGUCUCAGAUUCCCCAAGCAGCCUCUGAUCACAGACUAGACUUACAGAGACCCUUUCCUGCUCUAGUGGAGAAAAAAACUUUGUCUAGAUACUCAUGUUGCAACAGAAGAAAGGGUGGGGGGAAAUGUAAUUGUAAUGUAUACAUGUAAGGAUAACCUGAUCCCCUUGCUGUACAGUGGGAAAAUUAAAAAAAAAAUUAUAAAAAAUAAAAAAAAUAAAGACUGGCCCACUUCGGUAGGUUGAAUAACAGCCUCCAAAGAUGUUCACAUCUGAAUCCCUGGAAUUGGUGAGUACAUUACCUUAGGUUGCAAAAGGACUUUUGCAGACGUGAUUAACAAGAAUCUUGAGAUGGGAAGAUUUUCUUGGAUUUUCUAGAUAAACCAAAGAUAAUCUCAAGAGGGAGGCAAGAGCACAGGGCAGAGACACUGCAAGAUGCAACACUGCUGGCUUUGAAAACGAAAGGGCCAAAGAAUGAUGGGCGUCUCAAGAAGCUGGAAAAGUCCAGGAAACAUUCUCCUCUAGAGCCUGCAGAAGGGACGCAGAGCACACCAGAGUUUGAGAACCACCAGCCUGAAGCCCAGCAUCCUCAGCGUGGCUCAGAAGGCCUGCACCAUCUGGCUCUGCCUGCCUUUGGCCUCACCUCCAUCAGCCAGAUUGAAAUACUCCCUGUUCUAGAAACAGGCGUUGUACCUGAGGUAAAUCUGACUGAGGCUGGUCGUUACUAAGGCCACUGGUGAAAUCACAUGCCUGAAAGUCCCUCUGUUGGAUCCAUUCUGCGACACAACAUGCUCAGCAGUGAAGGGGGGAACCCAUCAGGCCUUCCUGGUCAAUUCAGAGGACACAGUCAGCUCUGGCAACAGAGCAAAGACAAGAGUUCCUGCUGCUCCAUAUCCUUGCCAGCAUUUGGUGUUCUCAGUGUACUGAAUUUUGACCAUUUUAACAGCAUGUGGAAGGGCCAGGGAUCGAAAUCACACCAUAGCAGCAACCUGAACCACUGCAAGACAAUACGAGGUUCUUAACCCACUGUGCCACAAGGAAACUCAUGUAAAAUGUGUCUUACACAAAGAUUUUCUCCUAGUCUCUGGCUUGUCUUCUCAAGCUCUCUCACAGAGAAGUUUUCAAUUUUUAUGAAGUUCAGCAUAUUAAUAAACUCUCUAAUGUAUCAUAUCCUUGGUGUCAUAUCUAAAAAGAUAUCACCACACACAAGGUCACCUAGGUUUUCUCCUAUGUUAUGUUCUAGAAGCCUUGCAGUUUUGAAUUUAGGUAAUUUUGAGUUAAUUUUUGUGAAGGGUGUAAGGUCUGUCUAUGUGUGCAUGUAUGUAUGUGAAUGUUCAGUUGCUCCAGCACCAUUUGUUAGAAAGAAUAUAUUUGUUCCAUUGUACUGUCUUUUGCUUCCUUUUUGCAGUUGACUGUGUUUAUGCAGGUCUAUUUCUAGGCUCUUUAUUUGGUUUCAUUGAUCCAGCUAUUUUUUUCACCAAUGCUUUGUCACUGUAGCUUUAUAGCAGUAAGUCUUAAAGUCAGGUAGUGUCAGUCCUCCACCUUUGUUCUUCUUCAAUAAUGUAUUAGCCAUUCUGGAUCUUUAACUUCUCCAUAUAAACUUUAGAAUUGGUUUGUUAAUAUCUACAAAAUAACUUGUGGGAAUUUAGUUGAGAUUUCAUUGCAAUAUUGAGUCUUCCUGUCCAUGAACAUGAAGUAUCUCUCCACUUAUUAAGUUCCUGAUUUCAUUAAUCAGAAUUUUGUAG
Non-coding RNA from Sus scrofa (pig), 6779 nucleotides. Lineage: Eukaryota; Metazoa; Chordata; Mammalia; Artiodactyla; Suidae. The record is from RefSeq and is a predicted model, not a curated record.